Molecule: long non-coding RNA, 204 nt
Filed under: Hordeum vulgare
Lineage: Eukaryota; Viridiplantae; Streptophyta; Magnoliopsida; Poales; Poaceae
Description: long non-coding RNA (HVUL_LNC009329)
Source: RNAcentral
UUUUGGGGACUAACCUAUUAAUCUAGAGCUAGAGCCAGUUUCUGUUUUUUCCACAUUUUUGAAUAUUGCAGAUAAGGAAUAUUAAAUGAGUCCAAACGGAACAAAAUCUCCGGAAAGUUUUUUCUUGGUCCAGAAGACACCAUUGCUCCUCCAUUGCAGAUAAGGAAUAUUAAAUGAGUCCAAACGGAGGGCAUCUACAUCAAC